UACGUAGGUGGCGAGCGUUGUCCGGAUUUACUGGGCGUAAAGAGCGCGCAGGCGGCUGGUCAAGUCCGAUGUGAAAGCUCCCGGCUUAACUGGGAAAUUGCAUCGGAAACUGAUCGGCUGGAAGGUGGGAGAGGGUAGCGGAAUUCCCGGUGUAGUGGUGAAAUGCGUAGAUAUCGUUUGGAACGCCAAUGGUGAAAACAGGUUGCUGGGAGUGUGCUGACGCUGAGACACGAAAGCCAGGGGAGCGAACGGG
This 253-nucleotide ribosomal RNA is filed under the name uncultured bacterium. RNAcentral's name for it is "partial 16S ribosomal RNA". It matches the Rfam family "Bacterial small subunit ribosomal RNA", at positions 524 to 776 of the family's 1533-position model. The record is from RNAcentral.